AGCGAACGCUGGCGGCAGGCUUAACACAUGCAAGUCGAGCGAGCUGAUUCCUUCAGGAUGAAGCUAGCGGUGGACGGGUGAGUAACACGUGGGCAACCUGCCUCAUAGAGGGGAAUAGCCUUCCGAAAGGAAGAUUAAUACCGCAUAAGAUUGCAUCUUCGCAUGAAGAAGCAAUUAAAGGAGCAAUCCGCUAUGAGAUGGGCCCGCGGCGCAUUAGCUAGUUGGUGAGGUAACGGCUCACCAAGGCGACGAUGCGUAGCCGACCUGAGAGGGUGAUCGGCCACAUUGGGACUGAGACACGGCCCAGACUCCUACGGGAGGCAGCAGUGGGGAAUAUUGCACAAUGGGGGAAACCCUGAUGCAGCAAUGCCGCGUGAGUGAUGACGGCCUUCGGGUUGUAAAGCUCUGUCUUCGGGGACGAUAAUGACGGUACCCGAGGAGGAAGCCACGGCUAACUACGUGCCAGCAGCCGCCGUAA
RNAcentral lists this ribosomal RNA (478 nucleotides) under uncultured bacterium. RNAcentral's name for it is "partial 16S ribosomal RNA". It matches the Rfam family "Bacterial small subunit ribosomal RNA", at positions 29 to 523 of the family's 1533-position model. The record is from RNAcentral.